This 823-nucleotide ribosomal RNA is filed under the name uncultured bacterium. RNAcentral's name for it is "bacterial SSU rRNA". It matches the Rfam family "Bacterial small subunit ribosomal RNA", at positions 625 to 1447 of the family's 1533-position model. The record is from RNAcentral.
UCUGGAAACUNUCUGACUUGAGUGCAGAAGGGGAGAGUGGAAUUCCAUGUGUAGCGGUGAAAUGCGUAGAUAUAUGGAGGAACACCAGUGGCGAAAGCGGCUCUCUGGUCUGUCACUGACGCUGAGGCUCGAAAGCGUGGGUAGCGAACAGGAUUAGAUACCCUGGUAGUNCACGCCGUAAACGAUGUGUGCUAGGUGUUAGGCCCUUUCCGGGGCUUAGUGCCGGAGCUAACGCAAUAAGCACUCCGCCUGGGGAGUACGACCGCAAGGUUGAAACUCAAAGGAAUUGACGGGGGCCCGCACAAGCGGUGGAGCAUGUGGUUUAAUUCGAAGCAACGCGAAGAACCUUACCAGGUCUUGACAUCCCGAUGCUAUUCUUAGAGAUAGGAAGUUACUUCGGUACAUCGGAGACAGGUGGUGCAUGGUUGUCGUCAGCUCGUGUCGUGAGAUGUUGGGUUAAGUCCCGCAACGAGCGCAACCCUUAUUGUUAGUUGCCAUCAUUAAGUUGGGCACUCUAGCGAGACUGCCGGUAAUAAACCGGAGGAAGGUGGGGAUGACGUCAGAUCAUCAUGCCCCUUAUGACCUGGGCUACACACGUGCUACAAUGGUCGGUACAACGAGUUGCGAGCCGGUGACGGCAAGCUAAUCUCUGAAAGCCGAUCUCAGUUCGGAUUGGAGGCUGCAACUCGCCUCCAUGAAGUCGGAAUCGCUAGUAAUCGCGGAUCAGCACGCCGCGGUGAAUACGUUCCCGGGCCUUGUACACACCGCCCGUCACACCACGAGAGUUUGUAACACCCGAAGUCGGUGAGGUANCCUUUUAGGG